GGUGGAGGAAAAAGAUUAAAACGCGAGAAGUACCCUUCAUCCGAGGAGUGGAGAGGGAGGGAAAGGAGUUGCGUUGUGAAAUACAGGGGAAAACGUGAGAUAUUUUCGACAAACGACUCAACUUGCAACAGAAACGUGUUUCAUAGGUGUCACAAAUGUGAAAGCUCCCUGUCGCAAGGAGAAUCGACACGCUCCUUCAAUACAUAGAAUGGAAAAUACGACGACUUGGUGGAACGGAGGUGUACGAGGGUAGUUGAAGGGAGAAGAUGGGGGAGUAAGAAUUCAAGGAGGAUGAUGCAGGGUGUGCCACACGUCGAAUAGUCCCCUCGGGGUAGUGGAGUACACAGUGGAAUAUCGUGUCUCUCUGAUGCUCUCUCAUCGGCUCACUCUGACAAUUCCAACCCACCCUCAACCCCUCUCCUCUCGUCCCUACUAGCCGUUCUCGGCCAGUUGCGUUGUGCCGGCAAACAGGAUUAUUGGAAAUGGACUGGCACGUCGUCGACGAUCGGGGUAAAUGGUUUUGCGAGCAAUCCACAUGUGUGCUUUCAUUUUUUUUUUUCCUCUAUUUCUAUUUUGGCAGCCUCACCCCUGGCCUAAUUGGCCGACCGGGCUGUUGAACUCGCAUCCACUUUGACGUUAUCAAAAUUGCAAAGUGUGCGCCCAAUGACCGUAAAUCAAUGGUUUAAUUUGAAUGAAUUGCACCAAUUUUUUUUAAA
This is a long non-coding RNA of Diachasmimorpha longicaudata, 716 nucleotides long. RefSeq lists it as uncharacterized. The transcript has 4 exons. Lineage: Eukaryota; Metazoa; Arthropoda; Insecta; Hymenoptera; Braconidae. The record is from RefSeq and is a predicted model, not a curated record.